This 413-nucleotide ribosomal RNA is filed under the name Streptomyces anulatus. RNAcentral describes it as "partial 23S ribosomal RNA". It matches the Rfam family "Bacterial large subunit ribosomal RNA", at positions 2519 to 2925 of the family's 2925-position model. The record is from RNAcentral. Lineage: Bacteria; Bacillati; Actinomycetota; Actinomycetes; Kitasatosporales; Streptomycetaceae.
UGGCACCUCGAUGUCGGCUCGUCGCAUCCUGGGGCUGGAGUCGGUCCCAAGGGUUGGGCUGUUCGCCCAUUAAAGCGGUACGCGAGCUGGGUUUAGAACGUCGUGAGACAGUUCGGUCCCUAUCCGCUGUGCGCGUAGGAAUAUUGAGAAGGGCUGUCCCUAGUACGAGAGGACCGGGACGGACGAACCUCUGGUGUGCCAGUUGUCCUGCCAAGGGCAUGGCUGGUUGGCUACGUUCGGAAAGGAUAACCGCUGAAAGCAUCUAAGCGGGAAGCCUGCUUCGAGAUGAGUAUUCCCACCCUCUUGAAGGGUUAAGGCUCCCAGUAGACGACUGGGUUGAUAGGCCAGAUGUGGAAGCCCUGUAAGGGGUGGAGCUGACUGGUACUAAUAGGCCGAGGGCUUGUCCUCAGUUG